GCUCUUUUCCUCCUCUGGGGAGGGGAGAAAAGAGGAAGAGGAGAGAGAGGAAGAGGAGUGGACCGCCGCUGUCACUGGAGGCGGCGGUGGCUGCUGACACUGAAUAGAUUGGCUCACUGUUCGCUGCACAAUGACUCAAUGAAAAGUGGAGGGGAGAGGCAAGUGCACUGUACAGCUGCAACACAGAGAGAGAGAGACACACACACAGGGGAGCAGAGGAAAAGAAACCAACUGGAGGAGCUGGGGGACAAGUAGAAGAAGAAGAUACACUUGUCCUUUUCCCCUCUCUUUAUCUCAGUGAGAUUCCUCUCUGGGAUCAAGUGGCGAUUGUUCAGCUCCAGCUGAACUUCACCCACAUCCUCCUGCCUCUGCUGCCCACUUUCACAAACAAGCAGACAAGUGUCGGUGUGGCGACAGGAGGAGGGAAUCGGGUCCGGAUCAACCUGGAGAGCCGUGGAGGACAGCAGGAUGCCAGCGGGGAGAAGAAAGGAUGGAGCCGGGUCGGCGGCGGGUCUGUGGACGAUGCUGGCGUGGGCGGUCCUGGUGGGUCCGGGAGGCGCUGAAGCGUGUCCGGCUCCCUGCAGCUGCCUGGGGAGCACGGUGGACUGCCACGGCCGGGGAAUCCACUCCGUCCCCAAAAACAUCCCCAGAGGGACUGAGAGGCUCGAUCUGAACGAGAACAACCUGACGGUCAUAACCAAGACAGAUUUCUCUGGUCUUAAACACCUCAGAGUUCUUCACCUGAUGGAGAACAAGAUCAGCAGCAUUGAAAGAGGAGCCUUUGAUGAGCUGAAGGAGCUGGAAAGACUGCGUCUUAACAGAAAUCGUCUCAGCCAGCUUCCAGAGCUGCUGUUUCAGAAGAACGAAGCUCUGUCUCGACUGGAUCUGAGUGAAAAUGCCAUCCAGGCCAUCCCACGGCGAGCGUUCAGAGGAGCCACAGACAUCAAAAACCUUCAGCUGGAUAAAAACCACAUCACCUGUAUAGAGGAGGGAGCGUUCAGAGCUCUGCGGUCCCUGGAAGUGCUCACGAUGAACAACAACAACAUCAGCAGCAUCCCCGUCUCCAGUUUCAACCACAUGCCGAAACUGCGAACCUUCCGGCUCCACUCCAACGCGCUGCGCUGUGACUGUCACCUGGCCUGGCUGUCGCCAUGGCUACGGCAGCGGUCUGCGCUGGGCCUCUACACGCAGUGCAGUUCCCCUCCGGCUCUGCGGGGGCUCAACCUCGCAGAGCUGCGCAAGAGUGACUUCGCCUGCUCAGCCCACAGCGGCAGCGCCUUCGUUCAGCCGUGCAGUUUGGCGUCCGGUUCUUGUCCUCCGAUGUGUUCCUGCAGCAACAACAUUGUGAACUGCAGAGGAAGGGGCCUCACCGCCAUACCUGCCCACCUGCCGGAGGCCAUGACGGAGAUUCGUCUGGAGCAGAACGGCAUCAAGUCAGUUCCUCCUGGUGCGUUCACCUCCUACAAGAAGCUCCACCGCAUAGACCUGAGCAACAAUCAGAUAUCUGAGAUUGCUCCUGAUGCAUUUCACGGCCUCCGAGCGCUCAAUUCGCUCGUUCUGUAUGGGAAUAAAAUCACUGAGCUGCCCAGUGGAGUAUUCGAUGGCUUGGUUUCUCUGGAGCUGCUAUUGCUGAAUGCAAAUAAAAUCCACUGUAUCCGUGCAGCAGCGUUCAAAGACCUGGAAAACCUUGCCCUUCUUUCUCUGUACGACAAUAAGAUCCAAAGUCUGGCUAAGGGAACCUUUAGCUCACUGCACAGCAUCCAGACACUCCACCUGGCCCAGAACCCGUUUGUCUGUGACUGUCAUGUGAAGUGGCUGGCUGACUUCCUGGGUUCAAACCCCAUCGAGACCAGCGGAGCUCGCUGCGCCAGCCCUCGUCGGCUCGCCAACAAACGCAUCGCUCAGAUCAAGAGCCACAAGUUCAGAUGCUCCGCCAAGGAGCAGUACCACAUCCCAGGCACUGAAGAUCGACGCCUGAGCUACGAGUGUAACAGUAAGCCUGUAUGUCCUGCUAAAUGUCGCUGUGAGGCCAAUGUGGUGGACUGCUCCAAUCUGCGCCUCACCAAGUUCCCAGAGCACCUGCCGCCCUCCACCGAAGAGCUGCGUCUUAACAACAAUGACCUGUCCAUGCUGGAGGCCACUGGCGCCUUCAAGGGUCUUUCUCAUAUAAAGAAAAUUAACCUGAGCAACAACAAGAUUUCGGAGAUCGAGGACGGUGCAUUUGAGGGCGCCUCGUCAGUGGGGGAACUUCACCUGACAGCCAACCACCUGGAGUCGGUGCGAGGGAGCAUGUUCAGAGGCAUGGAGGGGCUGCGCAUGCUGAUGCUAAGGAACAACAGGAUCAGCUGCAUCCAUAACAGCAGCUUCACAGGGCUGCCCAACGUCAGGCUGCUCUCCCUCUACGACAACCAGCUCACCACCAUCCUGCCUGGAGCCUUCGACACUCUGCCCAACCUCUCCACUCUAAACCUGCUGGCCAACCCCUUUACCUGCGACUGCCACCUGUCCUGGUUCGGGGCGUGGCUCCGGAGCCGCCGGAUCGUGACGGGGAACCCUCGGUGCCAGAGCCCGGCUUUCCUGCGAGGGAUUCCUCUGCAGGACGUAGCGGUCCCUGAUUUCCGCUGCGAGGAUGGUUCUGUGCUGGAGGACAGGAGCUGCGUAGCGGGGCCUCAGUGUCCCAGUCAGUGUUCCUGCAUGGACACAGUGGUUCGCUGCAGCAACAAACACCUGCAGGCUCUGCCCAGAGGAUUACCACGUAACAUCACCGAACUGUACCUGGAUGGAAACCAGUUCACCAGCGUCCCUAAGGAGUUAGCCAGCUUCAAGUACCUGCAGCUUGUAGAUCUGAGCAACAAUAAAAUCAACUCGCUGUCCAAUGACUCCUUCUCCAACAUGAGCCAACUCACAACUCUGAUCCUCAGCUACAACUCGUUACAAUGUAUCCCUCCUCUAGCUCUGGCCGGCCUGCGCUCCCUAAGACUGCUCUCUCUCCAUGGCAACGACAUCUCUGAGCUGCAGCAGGGAAUCUUCAGUGACCUGGCCUCCCUGUCUCACCUAGCAAUCGGAGCCAACCCUCUGUACUGUGACUGCCGGCUGCUCUGGCUGUCAGACUGGGUGAAGAGCGGCUAUAAGGAGCCGGGCAUCGCACGCUGCGCCGGCCCACGGGGCCUGGAGGGCAAGCUGCUGCUCACCACACCUGCUGACAAGUUCCAGUGUCUGGGUCCAGUGGACAUUUCUGUUCAGGCCAAAUGCACUCCAUGCGUUUCCUCCCCUUGCCAGAACCAGGGAACCUGCCAAAUCCACCAAUCCCAGCAGUACACCUGCGCCUGCAAGUCGGGUUUUACGGGUAAACACUGCGAGACUCCAGUCGAUGCUUGUGUCAGCAAUCCCUGCACCAAUGGAGGAAGCUGCCUGAGAGACGAGCAGACAGGAGGCUUCAGCUGCGCGUGUGCAUUUGGUUUCCAUGGCACAUUUUGUGAGGUCAACGUGGACGACUGCGAAGAUCACGGAUGUGACAAUGGCGCCACCUGUGUCGAUGGAGUCGGCAACUACACCUGCUUGUGUCCUCCUAACUACAGAGGUCUGCUUUGUGAAGAGGAGGAUGAUGUUUGUUCUCCAGGUAGAAAUCCUUGUCAGCAUCAGUCCACCUGCAUCAGCAGUCCUACAGGCCCCAGGUGUGUGUGUAUCCCCGGCUGGGUGGGACCAGACUGCGGCAUCGACUACAACGAGUGCGCGGAUCACCGCUGUCAGAACUCAGCUCAGUGCAUCGACCAUCUGGACGGUUACAGCUGCGUCUGCCCGCAGGGAUUCAGUGGCGAGUUUUGUGAGGUGACAGAUCUUCAGCAGACACCCUGCCAGAUGGCCAAGUGUCAGAAUGGCGCUCCCUGUAACGACAAGUUGGGGACCGCAAUCUGUCAGUGUCCGCCCGGCUUUGAGGGCCAGAGUUGCGAGAAGCUGGUUAGCGUCAACUUUGUGGACAAAGAUUCUUACGUCGAACUUCAGGAUGUGAAAAACUGGCCUCAGUCCAACAUCACGUUGCAGGUGUCAACUGCGGAAGAUAAUGGCAUCUUGCUGUACAAUGGAGAUCAUGAGCCGAUCGCUGUAGAGCUCCAUCAGGGUCAUGUAAGGGUCACCUAUGACCCUGGGAACCAGCCUGCCACCGCUAUUUACAGCUCUGAGACGGUAAACGAUGGUAAUUUCCACACGGUUGAGCUGGUGACCUUUAAUCAGAUGGUGAACCUGUCUGUGGAUGGAGGAGAGCCAACGACUCUGGACAGCCAAGGCCGCGGCCAGCCGCUGACUGGAGAGACGCCUCUUUACGUGGGAGGUAUGCCUGAGGAGGUUAUACCGACUUCUCGAGGCCUCUCCUCUCAGAGUCUCAACACGUCCAGUUUCCACGGCUGCAUCAGGAACCUCUACAUAAACCAUGAGCUGCAGGACUUUACCCGGAGCCAAAUGAAGCCGGGGGUUGUACCGGGCUGCCAACCCUGCCGCAAACUUUACUGCCUGCAUGGCAUAUGCCAACCCAACAGUGCGCAGGGCCCCCAGUGCCACUGCCAGCCAGGUUGGACAGGUCAACACUGUGACCAGCCAAUCACUGUAGGCCUCAGUGGAGGCGACGUCGUCACCAUGGCGAAUGGUAUCAACCCCUGUGAGGGAAACAAGUGUGUGAAGGGCGCCUGCAUGGUGCUGGAUGCUCAGACCUACCGCUGUGAGUGUGAGAAGGGAUUCAGAGGAGCGCUGUGUAACCUGCAGGAGGAGCCCGCCGGCUCGUGUCACAGGCUGCAGUGUCUUCACGGCCGCUGUCAAAAGACGGAGGACGGAGAGAGCUGUGUGUGCGAGCAGGGAUACACUGGAGAGAUCUGCGCUACAGAGACCCCAUGUCGAGGUGAGCCGGUCAGAGACUACCACCGGCUGCAGCGCGGCUCCAUUCUCUGCCAGACAUCAAAACCGUUCUCCUGGGUCGACUGUCGGGGUCACUGUCGGGCUGAAGCCGAGCGGGGAGCCACCGCCGUUUCCUGCUGCGCCCCUCUGAGGGUCCGGCGGCGGCGGAUCACCUUCGAAUGCGACGACGGCACCUCGUUUACGCAGGAUGUGGAGAAACCUGUGGAAUGUGGCUGCAAGGAGUGUGUGUAACUAUGAGGAAGGGAAGAUGAACACUUUCCCACAGGUAGACCGCUUGAAACCAGAACCCAACGCCAGCAGGUAGACCGCUUGAAACCAGAACCCAACGCCAGCAGGUAGACCGCUUGAAACCAGAACAUGCUGACGUUGGGUUCUGGUUUCUAAUGGUCUACCCAACUGGCGUUGGGUCUACCAAGCGGUCUACUCAACGCCAGCAGGUAGACCGUUAGAAACCAGAACCCAAACCGGCUCCAGGUACGAUCGCCACAGGAGGAAUCUUGCUUUCAUUUUUUCGAUAUUUGCCUCACCAGCUGUUUUGAGACGUUUCUUCAUCAACCAGUCGACCUCGUCCUCCUCACCUGCAGAACCCCUUAGUGCAGAGGUGUCCAAAGUGUGGCCUGUGGGCCAUUUGCAGUCCAUGCUUUUAAUAAGUUUAUUGGACAAAUAUUAAAUUUUUCAAUAAAAGUAACCUAAAAAUUGCUUUUAUUGCUCAAAGUUGACAAAGAAGUUUUAUUAUUUUCAGUCGAGACUUUUAAAAGUUCUUUUAAUGAGACAAAUAUUUUGGAUUCCAACAACAAGAAUCCACUUUAAUCAUUUGGUUUAGUUUAAUAAAAAUGUCAAAAUGUAUUUUGAUUGACGAUUUUGGCCCAUGUGACAGAAGUUUGGACACCCCUGCCUUUGUGUCGCACACCAACAAAUACAGCGCUGGAAAAAAUGAAGAGACCACUUAAGAUGAUCAGUUUCUCUGAUUUUACUGUUUAUAGGUUUAUGUUUGUGUAAAAU
Poecilia reticulata (guppy) is the source of this 5907-nucleotide non-coding RNA. NCBI's taxonomy places the organism in Eukaryota, Metazoa, Chordata, Actinopteri, Cyprinodontiformes, Poeciliidae. The record is from RefSeq and is a predicted model, not a curated record.